GGGCAGUGGGGAUUUUGGACAUGGGGGCAACCCUGAUCCAGCAAUGCCGCGUGAGUGAAGAAGGCCUUCGGGUUGUAAAGCUCUUUUGUCAGGGAAGAAACGGUGAGAGCUAAUAUCUCUUGCUAAUGACGGUACCUGAAGAAUAAGCACCGGCUAACUACGUGCCAGCAGCCGCGGUAAU
This 181-nucleotide ribosomal RNA is filed under the name uncultured freshwater bacterium. Its description in RNAcentral is "partial 16S ribosomal RNA". It matches the Rfam family "Bacterial small subunit ribosomal RNA", at positions 349 to 524 of the family's 1533-position model. The record is from RNAcentral.